Etheostoma spectabile (orangethroat darter) is the source of this 148-nucleotide long non-coding RNA. RefSeq lists it as uncharacterized. The transcript has 3 exons. NCBI's taxonomy places the organism in Eukaryota, Metazoa, Chordata, Actinopteri, Perciformes, Percidae. The record is from RefSeq and is a predicted model, not a curated record.
UACACCAAUGUAACAAUACAAGACGCUGUAUCAUCUCCAUAGCGACGACUUUUUGUACUUCCGUUCGAACUUCCGUCUUCCAGGCUUUUUGUAGCUAGCUAAAUCAUUGAUUGCGUCUAAUUCUGAUUGUGGAUAACGUUAGUGAUAG